AACGAACGCUGGCGGCAUGCCUAACACAUGCAGGUCGAACGAGACCUUCGGGUCUAGUGGCGCACGGGUGCGUAACGCGUGGGAAUCUGCCCUUGGGUGCGGAAUAACAGUUAGAAAUGACUGCUAAUACCGCAUAAUGACUCCGGUCCAAAGAUUUAUCGCCCAAGGAUGAGCCCGCGUCGGAUUAGCCAGUUGGUGAGGUAAGAGCUCACCAAGGCGACGAUCCGUAGCUGGUCUGAGAGGAUGAUCAGCCACACUGGGACUGAGACACGGCCCAGACUCCUACGGGAGGCAGCAGUGGGGAAUAUUGGACAAUGGGCGAAAGCCUGAUCCAGCAAUGCCGCGUGAGUGAUGAAGGCCUUAGGGUUGUAAAGCUCUUUUACCCGGGAUGAUAAUGACAGUACCGGGAGAAUAAGCCCCGGCUAACUCCGUGCCAGCCGCCGCUGUAA
Molecule: ribosomal RNA, 449 nt
Filed under: uncultured bacterium
Lineage: Bacteria
Description: partial 16S ribosomal RNA
Rfam family: Bacterial small subunit ribosomal RNA
Source: RNAcentral